Ictidomys tridecemlineatus (thirteen-lined ground squirrel) is the source of this 301-nucleotide non-coding RNA. Lineage: Eukaryota; Metazoa; Chordata; Mammalia; Rodentia; Sciuridae. The record is from RefSeq and is a predicted model, not a curated record.
UGGGAGGCUGUGAGGGCUCGAGCCGCUUCGGGCGCUCACGUCACGCCAAGCGUGGGGGCGCGAAGCGCGGGGAUGUGGUUCCGGUCGGGAAGGGUGGGGCUGAGGACUAUGAAGGAAGCAGGCUAGGAGCUGUGAAGCACCCCGGUCAUCCCAGGUCUGUGAAUUGAUGAACUUUAAUUAACUGUAACCAGUACCGGGCACGGUGGUGCGUGUCUGUCUGUAGUCCCAGCUACUUGGGAGGCUAAGGCACGAAAAUCGCUUGAUCCUGGGAGUUUGAGGCCAUCUGGGCAACAAGUGUGAG